RNAcentral lists this long non-coding RNA (337 nucleotides) under Marmota monax (woodchuck). The record is from RNAcentral. Lineage: Eukaryota; Metazoa; Chordata; Mammalia; Rodentia; Sciuridae.
UCGGGCGUUCGCUCGGGAAAUGGAUGCUCCGCUGGUCCGCCAGCGCCGGGGGCGGGGAAAGCACGCGCUCCGGUGUGCGCGCCCCGCCCAGGAGUCGGCGGGAGCGCCCUCCUGCUCCUUCCUCUCUCACCAGCCCGUGGUUAAGCACCCAGCGAAGAAGUGGAGUACCUUAUAAGUUUCUUGCUUGGUAUUUGGGCGGCCGCAGCCGAGAAAGGAACAUGGCGCUUGUAGGCAGCCGAGUGGAGCUGGAAGCUGAUGAGGUACUAGCGACGGGCAACGCGGGCGCUAUCCCUGGAGCCCGCACCCGGGCGCGGGAGGGAUGGGCGAGCCCCGCUUG